UGAAAGCGCGUUGGGGCUGGUAUCCUGGGACCUUCUCGUGGUAGCCCUGUUUAAACUGACCUUACCAGGAUAUUUGACCUGCUCUCAGAAAUUGAGUCUAUAGUUGCCCAAAUGUCACAAUGUUUUGGGGAGGAAGCAAAAUAAACUAUUGCAUCAAUGAAAUCUUUGCAUCAUUCUGUCAUAUAUUUCUGAAAGUUUGGACCACAUUGAAACCUGAAACUUUGCCCAGAAAGAAAGAAAUUCAAAACUUCAUUUCCUUUAAAUCAUUCACUGUUUUCACGAAGAGCAUGUGGAUUUUUAAAAAAAAAAUUCAAUAUGAUCGCUAAAGAGGUUUCUCCUAUUUUAAAACCGCCAAAAAAAUACUUCUUUGCAAUAUUGUGUGCAGUAAGGAAACUUCACGUGAUUCUAUGAGAGCUGAAUUUUAAAGUGAACCCAGUACUAAGAAUUAAUGGAAGGUAUUAGUGAAAAUUAAAGUAAAGAUAAUUUGUCUCUUUGUCUCUUAAAUUCAAGUUUCCUACGUUUUGGCCCUUUCUAUUCAAUGUGUUUUUCCAUAUGGACGGGGCGCGCGCAUGUGCAUGCAGCUGAGAAUGUAACAAAGAUAUGUGGCUCUUCAUGAAAACGAAAAUCUCAGUCGACCUUCUUUACGCCUUUCUUUGCAAUAGGUUUUGUACGUGUUCAAGGGGCCAAAACGUAUGUGGCUCUUCGUGAAAAUGCAAAAUGCAUUUAUCGAGAUCUCUGCCAAUAGCAUCAUUACUGUUAUUUGGAAAAAAAUGAUGUUUUGCUUACAGAAACAUGUCCAAAUGGUCAUGUACAAUUUUUUUUUUAAAAUAGUGAACAAAUCGAAAAUAAAAAAAAAUGGUUAUUUUUGACACGUGGCUCUUCACGAAACCAGUGACGUUUUUUCUCUCAUUCCAGGUCUUAACAUGCCUAAACACGACUUUCCAAAAAAACUUCCUAAAAAGAUUUUCAAAAAAAUGAAACAAAUUGUGAGGUAACAUUUUCAGAGACAUAACAUCUCGGACUCUUUUUCUCAGAGCAGGUCACGCGAAUUUGGUUGAUGUAUUUCUCCAAGAUGUGCAUUCAGACCAAAAGACUAAUCCUUCUUUUUCUUUGUCAUUUGUUGCAGAUAAUUGAUCUGGUCACCUCACGCUGGCGACACACUGACAGACAUCCAACAAACUGUCUCAGAAGAAUCCUACUGCAGCAACGCAACAUUUGAUCAAAGGCUCAUGGUCCAUGCAACGUAGCUGAGUGGCUUAAACACUUAACAAGAUGAUGAUGUUGCCAUGGUUACAGCAAGCAAGUCAAUUUAAAAACAAAAAAUCCGGUCAUGCUAUUUAAUACAUUUUAUGAAAGAAAAAUGUUUAAACUUGUAUGUAGUAAUUUCACUGACAUGUAUUUUGUUAUCAUCUCAAUUUCAUCUUUUAAUGCAUGUUCGCUUUAUUUUUGAUGUUUUUUUUUUUUUAAAUUGAAAUGUCCUAAAUAAUUAAAUUCUUAGAAGAAGUUACAAUAAUUUCCAAAAAAUAAAUACUUUUGUGACUUGUGGCAUCAUAAACCCUAAGUACAUUAUUCUAACUGUAUUUAGCGCAUGGUUUGCGCCAAUGACAAAAAAAUCCAGCUUUUCCAUAAAUUCUCAAAAGUAAGGCCUAACAAAUAUUUUAAUAGGUUUAUCUUGCAUCAAAAGUCAUUUUUGGGUCUUUCGAGAAAAAAGUUAAAUUUCGACACAAUUUGAUUCAAAAUGCAAGGUUUACCCUUGGCACUUUUUUUCAAAUUAUCGGCCCAAAAAUAAUGUUAUAACUUUCAUAAAUGAUCAAAAUGAGGGGUUAGAAACUAUUUCAAUAUGUUCAUCUUAUUGGGUCAUUUUGGGGUUGUUUAAUGAAAAAAUUAAUUUUUCAGACAAUUUAAAGUUAAAAUCUAUUUUAAAGUACAAAUAAAUGAGUUUGACAGCAUAUCUUGCGUUAAAUUGCAUUUAUUCUGUCAGUUGUUUUUUUAAUUCACAAUUUUAAAAACCGAGAUCCUUGCAGUAACUGUUAGUGCUUUUAAAUUGCAUUAAAUGUAAGUUUGGGUUGUUUGGGGAUAAGUUAAUCAAGGUUAGCCCCUUACCAUUUUAAUAUAAAUUGGAACCACAAAUUUUGGAUAUGCUUUGAUGUAGCUCGAGGAUCAUUCAAGUAAUCAAAUUUAGACGAGCAUCUUGUUCCCUGCCUUCAUUGGCAUAUACUGAACGAAACCCAGAAAUUUGCAUAAUGGUAUCUUUUUUUUAUGAGCAGCUUGUAUUUAUUUGCAUUUGAUGAAUAUGCAUUAAUGAAUAUUCAUGAUUGUUUUGCAAUGUUUUAACCUAAGGUUUAUAUAUAAGGUCCGAACACAAAUUUAUCAAGAAGCAGUUGGCUCAGUAGGACGAGCUCAGGAUCCGAACCGGGAUGUCCCCGGUUCAGGUCCUGGGCCCGUCCUGAGGAGCUUUUAGACUUUUUCAAAAUAUAUACUAUCUUUUCUGACAAAAUUGUGCAUGGGUAGGACUUGAACCGGGAACCCUUGGGUAUGUAGCCUUACACUCUUACCGCUACACCACUGGGUUUUUCUUAAAAAAGUAAGGAUUCUGGUAAUUAAAACCCUUAGGUUGUUCUGACUUAGUCUCCAGAGAGAGUUGGAGGCUGAGGGGUAGAAGCCUUGGGUCUGGGGUAGGAACUUGGGACUUAGGUUUGGGCUGAUCAACUCACUGGGGAAUUUACUAGCUGGAUGGUUCAUACUUAUACUUUAUACUUAUACUUCGGUUUGGGGUAGGAAUUUGGGACUUGGUUUUUUUACUUAUAUUUAUACUUAAACAUUGGUCAGUUCUAAGGGAAGUAUUAAACCUAGAUACAUAGCUUCGCUGGGAAUAAAAAAUUGUUUAUUUUUCAAGGCACAAGACGGACAUAAGAACAAGUGUAUAACAGUGUUAUUUUGCUUGCCAUAGCAUGGUUUUCGAAUUUAUUUCUUCAUUAGUUUUUUUUACAAAACAGCAGUAAAAAAAUAUACAUCAAUUUACAAACUUACAGUACACUACAUGGUAAUAUGACACUUUCUGUUAACACUUAAAAAAAGUUUUUCCCAUAAUAGAGCAAAUGUAAGACAGUUGCACUGGCCAAAAAUAUCUCAGAUUAUUUUUAUCACGGUAAAUGAUAAACAAAUUAAAACAUACACAUCCACCAACAUAUUUUUUAACAUUUGUAAUUUAUGUAAAAUACGCCCUGGUUUCCGGUUGCAACGCCAUAUUUUCUUGAAAUUUCCAAACAAAUGGCUUGAUCAAUUGCAAAUUGUCUUGCCAUUUUUUUAAUUUCAAAUUUUGAAAAAAAUUCCAUAUAUUAAUCUUCAAAAUAAGGGCCUAACAACCAUUGCAAUAAGUUUAUCUUGCA
Molecule: long non-coding RNA, 3389 nt
Organism: Patiria miniata (bat star)
Lineage: Eukaryota; Metazoa; Echinodermata; Asteroidea; Valvatida; Asterinidae
Exons: 2
Source: RefSeq, a predicted model, not a curated record